This 460-nucleotide ribosomal RNA is filed under the name uncultured bacterium. RNAcentral describes it as "partial 16S ribosomal RNA". It matches the Rfam family "Bacterial small subunit ribosomal RNA", at positions 338 to 795 of the family's 1533-position model. The record is from RNAcentral.
CCUACGGGCGGCUGCAGUGAGGAAUAUUGGUCAAUGGGCGCGAGCCUGAACCAGCGAAGUCGCGUGAGGGAAGACGGUCCUAUGGAUUGUAAACCUCUUUCGUCGGGGAGCAAAAGACGCCACGCGUGGCGUUCCGAGAGUACCCUAAGAAAAAGCAUCGGCUAACUCCGUGCCAGCAGCCGCGGCAAUACGUAGGGGGCAAGCGUGAUCCGGAUUUACUGGGUGUAAAGUGAGCGUAGGCGGUGCAGCAAGUCGGCUGUGAAAGGUCGGGGGCCAACCCCGGGACUGCAUGGGAAACUGGUGGACUAGAGUACAGGAGAGGUAAGCGGAAUUCCUAGUGUAGCAGUGAAAUGCGUAGAUAUUAGGAGGAACACCAGUGGCGAAGGCGGCUUACUGGACUGUAACUGACGUUGAGGCUCGAAGGCGUGGGGAGCGAACAGGAUUAGAUACCCUAGUAGUC